GACGAACGCUGGCGGCGUGCUUAACACAUGCAAGUCGAACGGAAAGGCCCUGCUUUUGUGGUGUGCUCGAGUGGCGAACGGGUGAGUAACACGUGAGUAACCUGCCCUUGACUGUGGGAUAACUUCAGGAAACUGGGGCUAAUACCCGUUAGGAGCUCCUGCUGCAUGGGGGGGGUUGGAAAGUUUAGGCGGUUGGGGAUGGACUCGCGGCUUAUCAGCUUGUUGGUGGGGUAGUGGUUUACCAAGGCUUUGACGGAUAUCCGGCCUGAGGAGGUGACCGGCCCCAUUGGGACUGCGAUAGGGACCAGACUGCUAUGGGAGGCAGCAGUGGGGAAUCUUGCACAACGGGCCGAAGCCUGAUGAAGAAACGCCGCGUGCGGGAUGCCGGCCUUCGGGUUGUAAACCGCUUUCGCCUGUGACGAAGCGUGAGUGACGGUACUGGGUAAAGAAGCACCGGCUAACUACGUG
Molecule: ribosomal RNA, 468 nt
Filed under: uncultured bacterium
Lineage: Bacteria
Description: partial 16S ribosomal RNA
Rfam family: Bacterial small subunit ribosomal RNA
Source: RNAcentral